Molecule: ribosomal RNA, 494 nt
Filed under: uncultured bacterium
Lineage: Bacteria
Description: bacterial SSU rRNA
Rfam family: Bacterial small subunit ribosomal RNA
Source: RNAcentral
AGUAACGCUGGCGGCGUGCCUAACACAUGCAAGUCGAGCGAAGUAACUAGCGUAGCAAUACGAAAAGUGCUUAGCGGCAGACGGGUGAGUAAUACAUAGAUAACUUUCCUCUUAGAGGGGGAUAGCCCGCCGAAAGGCGGGGUAAUACCGCGUAAGAUCAGGAAUUGAUAACAGUUUCUGAUGAAACAUCCGCAAGGAUGGCUGAGAGAUGGGUCUAUGGCCUAUCAGCUAGUUGGUGAGGUAAUGGCUCACCAAGGCUAAGACGGGUAACCGGCCUGAAAGGGUGGACGGUCACACUGACACUGAGACACGGGUCAGACACCUACGGGUGGCAGCAGUGAGGAAUCUUGGACAAUGGGGGAAACCCUGAUCCAGCGACGCCGCGUGAAGGAUGAAGGUCUUCGGAUUGUAAACUUCUUUUCUCCGGGAAUAAUAAAUCGGUAGAAAUACCGAGAUUGAAUGUACCGGAGGAAUAAGCCACGGCUAACUUCGUG